Long non-coding RNA from Alligator sinensis (Chinese alligator), 1286 nucleotides. RefSeq lists it as uncharacterized. NCBI's taxonomy places the organism in Eukaryota, Metazoa, Chordata, Crocodylia, Alligatoridae. The transcript has 3 exons. The record is from RefSeq and is a predicted model, not a curated record.
ACCGCCCUGCCCGGAGCAGCGGGUCCCUGGGGGCAGUAGCUCCCGCUUUGCAGCCCGCGGGCUCUUGAAGGGAGCUCCGGAGGGUCCCGGCUCUGCCCCGCUCCUCCCACACAAGCCCCGGUGUGUCCCCGCGGGAGCCGCCGGCGCCUUCUGCUCCCCUGAGAGUCACUUGAGGAGCUCCCUACAAGCAUCUGCAAAGGACACCUUUUCCUUUCUCCCAUGCUGCCUUCCACCCAGGGCCAGACACAGGCAUGGGCAAGCUGGAAAACCACCCUGGUCCCGGACAGAAAGGGGCUCCAAAAAUGAGUCAACACAGCUCAGAGGGAGCUAGAAUCUAUUCCUUUAAUUAAUCAUCAGAAGCAUAGUUUAUUGAAGUCAAGAAGAAUGGAGUGACAUACAUCCGUGAUGGUACAGCUGGCCUAUUACUGGCAGUGAUGUGGAAGGAAGUCACUCAAUGUGACGCAAGACAGAAUGAGUUGGGGCGGGGGGUUGGGCAAAGUAACCACUUAAUUUUCCUGUUAACUGAAUAUUGUUUAUGUGGUGCCAUUAACAGAUAAUGAAUAAGGAACACUUGGUAUCAUUUUUAAUUGAGCCACUUUUCAGAGUAAAACUGCACUCUCUUCCUUUUACUAACUGAGGAACUUCAUCCAGUUAAGCAUUGGAUGUAGCCUAAUGAAAGGGUUCUUAUUCCAACCCCUUCUCCUCCCCACCCCCCAUUACUUUACUUUUAUCAAAGCAAAUGAACACAGAGUCCUGCCUUCAAGUCUACAAGAAACAACAAGCAUUCACAGAGAUGUUAUCAAUGAAAUACUAUAUUUCCAAAACACGUACCAAGAUAAUAGAUUUUACCCUGACCCAUUUCACUGAAACGGAUGACCUUUGUUCUGGGCAGAGUUGAGCUUUACCAUGAGGAUGCAAAAUGGACAGCUCCAUUUAUUUCCUGAACCCACUCUGUUUUGGAAACUUUCUAGGUAUCAUGUUUAAUGUGUGUGGAGAUAAAUGCAACAGCUAAUACAGCUUUACAGACAGCAAAUGUCUGGGAGAGUGGCAGGGGCAGAAGUGACGUAUAGGGGGUGCAUGGGGAUGACCUCUUGAGAGCACCUGUGCACCCCCGGUCAGGCCAUGCUCCCUGUUUAGCUGGCGGGCAGUGGGGCAGGCAGGAACACCAGUGCCGCCCCUGCAAGUGCCAGCCAGGGAGCUGGGCCGCCAGCAAAAGCUUCUGGAAGUGACUGGGGGUUCCGGAAGCAGUGCAGCACAGCCGCUUUUACAGUGAGUGAGAUCGGCUG